UACGUAGGGUGCAAGCGUUGUCCGGAAUUAUUGGGCGUAAAGAGCUCGUAGGUGGUUUGUCGCGUUGUUCGUGAAAACUCACAGCUCAACUGUGGGCGUGCGGGCGAUACGGGGCAGACUGGAGUACUGCAGGGGAGACUGGAAUUCCUGGUGUAGCGGUGGAAUGCGCAGAUAUCAGGAGGAACACCGGUGGCGAAGGCGGGUCUCUGGGCAGUAAACUGACGCUGGAGGAGCGAAAGCGUGGGGAGCGAACAGGA
Molecule: ribosomal RNA, 257 nt
Filed under: uncultured bacterium
Lineage: Bacteria
Description: partial 16S ribosomal RNA
Rfam family: Bacterial small subunit ribosomal RNA
Source: RNAcentral